Hyla sarda is the source of this 1800-nucleotide long non-coding RNA. RefSeq lists it as uncharacterized. Lineage: Eukaryota; Metazoa; Chordata; Amphibia; Anura; Hylidae. The record is from RefSeq and is a predicted model, not a curated record. The transcript is spliced from 6 exons.
UGGGUGCUUGUUCAAAAAGGUAAUGCCAGCUAUGUUUACACAUCCUGUUUUUAACAUGCCCUUUUUAAAAACUUACCCCAUUUGGGUUUCUUUACAGUCUAGUCUUUCCUCUGUAGUUCUGUCUCUAGUGACCAUGACAUCACUAGAGGCCGGGCUACAGAAGAAAGAAGACAGUGUACAGAAGCCCAGACAGAUAAGUGUCCAGCUCUUUACACCAUACAUCCAUUUAUAUAAAUGGCUGUAUACUGUAUAGCCCAGAAGGAGUUAAGUAGCGAUGCUCAGCAUUACAAGUUAACUUCUUCAGCGCUGGGCCAGUGCAGAGCGCUCAUCUCAGCAGUGGGGGACAAAAUCCAGUGAUACAGUAGAUAGACAUCCCUUGAUAGUGUCUGUCCCCAAAGAGUUAAGGAGUGAUGCACUGCAUUACUGUUUAACUUUUUCCUGGCCAGGCUGGAGGUAUACAAUAUAAACCUCUUUUCCAGAUGAGCUGUACAGAUCUGUAUACUGUACUCCGCUAUGCACGGCUGUAUACAGUACAUCCACAGAAUCUAUCAUUCCGUGAGCUUGUAGAGCAGAUCCUGACUGGCAUGGGCUGUGCGACUUUUUAAGCAUUUUUUUUCAAAAGUCGCAUAUAGUUCAUCCCAGCGUAAAUAAUAUGCUACUAUAACAACUCUCACUCUCUGCCCACAAAACGCCCUCUCACCGUCUCCUGGAUUCACAAGUGCAGAUGGCAGAAAACAGGUGAAUACAUGCAGUGUGUGCGGCAUGAAAAAUGUAGGAUGAUUUUGGCCCUAAUACAUGACCCCCUAGAUGUCAUUUUGUCCUCCACUUGGGAUGUUUGAAUACGCAUUUGCUAAAUGGAAUAGCACAGACCUCAGCAAUAUUCCAUUUAGCUGAAUCCUGCAAAAAAUUAUACUGUGCAGCAUUUUAUGAUGGAUGACGCCAAGUGGCAUGGGUAAUAGCUAGACAUUGAGGAAUCCCCUGACAAAUAUGACAUAUGGUUACUAACUGCAGUGUGAACCCAGUUUAAUUCCUCGUCUUCUGCUGUGAUAUUAUUUAAAGACUCUAUAAAUUAGGACAAUCCAUGAUUUUGCCACAGUUGAUGCAAACUACAAGAUAACAGCAUAGCACGAUCCUGCCAUUGACUUCAAUGGGUACCAUGUGACUGCACAGACAAGUGAAGCCUGGACUGGGAAAAUAUACAAAAGAAAACCGUCCAGUCCCCUGACCUUCUUCCAGCCUCCGAGAAGAAGACUUGGUGCGGGACUCUACCGACUCAGCAAAUUAGAAGAUAAAAGAACGGGAGACCAAAUGGAGACAACCGGGAGCUGCAGGGGAUCAGGGUUCGGAAAUCAUUUUCAAUAUGGAUGUAAAAGAGAUCCCUAAUAACGUGCAAACAUCAUCUGUAGCUGCAACACCGGGACCUGUGAAAAGAACUCUAACACCUGAUGGCAUCUCUGUUUCCUGAAUGGGCUACAGGUGAGGAGUGAUUCGCUGUCAAUCAAGAUACAUUGAGGUCUGACCACUUUCUCUGACACAGUUUAUGCAGACAAGAAGUGCCCAGAGUACGAGAUCCUACGCAUUAAAGGAUGUGAUGUGACCAAAAAUCUACUUCUAUGGUCUGUCAGAAGGAGAAGGAAGGAGCUGGUAAGGCUUCAGCCGCCAUCUUGACCCAUUGGACCUAUGCAAUUGAAUCAAUGGGUGGUCUGAUGAGUCUCUCAAAGCACCCCGUAUGCCAGUGGUCUCCAAUCUGCGGACCUCCAGAUGGUGAAAAACUACAACUCCCAGCAUGCCCGGACAGCC